AGAAAGGCAGCGCAUGAAAAUAUUUUUCAUGUCUUAAAGAAGGCGUCCAUAUCUCACACCAAAACUCUUCUUCUCCCCAAAUUUUUGUUGCACACACUCUUAUUCCUCACGCCCCCUUAGAGAUAAAGAUCUGAUCUUAUCAAAAUAGGAAAUAUAUGGCAUGUAAUAAAGGAAUGAUAUAAGUGGUGUGCCAAAAGAAAUCGAGAAGAUCUUUCACGCAC
RNAcentral lists this long non-coding RNA (221 nucleotides) under Elaeis guineensis (African oil palm). RNAcentral describes it as "long non-coding RNA (EGUI_LNC041310)". Lineage: Eukaryota; Viridiplantae; Streptophyta; Magnoliopsida; Arecales; Arecaceae. The record is from RNAcentral.